Molecule: long non-coding RNA, 408 nt
Organism: Carassius gibelio (silver crucian carp)
Lineage: Eukaryota; Metazoa; Chordata; Actinopteri; Cypriniformes; Cyprinidae
Exons: 2
Source: RefSeq, a predicted model, not a curated record
CCUCAAUUAAAGUUUGGAUGCGUGUCUCUAAUUCUGAAAUCUUCUCUGUCAGCCUAACUGUUUCCCUGCAUUUAUCACAUGUGAAUCCCUCAUCAGCGACAGAGAUAUAUAAACUGUACAUGUGGCAAGAGGUGCAAAUAACAAUUGUAGGAGAAGCCAUUACUCACCGUGCUUGAUGAAAUAUUCUUACUGCGGUUGUUUGAUGAACUUGUGGAAAACUGCAGCGUGAGAGAGGAGAGGAGAGGAGAAAAGAAAACGCUAAUGACAAGCUAACGAGUGCUAACGCUUUGCAGGUGUGCUGCAGUCACGGAAGAGUGAACGAUCAAAGUUAAUCUGAUAAGAUUGAUCGGUAGUAUCAGAAAUAUGGUGUGAAUUAAGUUAUAUUUUACAAUUAAAAAAACAAACAAA